UGUUUUAUCUUUUUGAGUUAUGAUUCAAGGAAAUGUUUCCCACCUUGUGAAGGGAAGAAAUGAUGGAAUGGCAGGUGCUAUGUAUGGCAUGAUUUCAAGAUUUCCCAGAAAAGCCAGCCUAACCCUGAGGAAUACAUCAUCAUGGUUGUCUUUCCCUUGGGAUUCUGAGCACCAGAGAGCAUCCCCAUUGGUUCAGAAAACGGGAGAACAAAGCGCUGGUGAUUCCAAGGACACACAAGGAAGAGGCGAAAAAGAGCCGGGGAACUAGUGCGGGAACUUCCUUACAAGUGUUGAGUUGGCUAGGCAACUCUGCUCCGUGUAAUCCUUAAUCAAGGACCCCGAGCUCAAGGAGGUCAAGGAACUCGUCCUCUGCAUUCAGGAAAGAAAAAAGAGGACUCUUCAGGAAGAUAAUUCAAAUGGCGGGAUAUUUUAAGAACCCAAGAAAGCCGGUGAGAGUUGUUUUAGAUGGAGACUUAGUGUCCCUUGCAUCAAACCAUGUCACCUGCAUACGGGACUGCCCCUGGAUACAUGUAUUUUGCAUUUCCUCACUGAAAAGGAUUCACACUAAUGCCGAGUGGGAAGAAAAUGUAUAAACAAUUAACUUCCCAAG
Molecule: long non-coding RNA, 610 nt
Organism: Lynx canadensis (Canada lynx)
Lineage: Eukaryota; Metazoa; Chordata; Mammalia; Carnivora; Felidae
Exons: 5
Source: RefSeq, a predicted model, not a curated record